CGUGGGCCGAUUGGAGGUGUCCAUGGUCAAACCAACUCCAGGCCUGACACCCAGGUUUGACUCAAGGUGAGGUCUUCAAGACCCCUGGCCUGCGUACUCCAGCAGCAGGAGAGCGGAUUUACAACAUCUCAGGGAAUGGCAGCCCUCUUGCUGACAGCAAAGAGAUCUUCCUCACUGUGCCAGUGGGCGGCGGAGAGAGCCUGCGAUUAUUGGCCAGUGACUUGCAGAGGCACAGUAUUGCCCAGCUGGAUCCAGAGGCCUUGGGAAACAUUAAGAAGCUCUCCGUAAAACCGUCUCGCCCAAAUCUGCAGCAGCAUACGGACCCACAAAUGAGACACCAAAGUUGACAGGAUGGACUUUUAAUGGGCACUUCUGGGACCCUGAAGAGACUUCUUCCCUUCAGGCUUAUUGUUUGAGUGUGAAGUUCCAGAGCAAGGAGCCAUGUUCCUCUAAGGGAAUUCAGGAAUUCAGACGUGCUAGUCCCACACCAGUUAGGUAGAGCUGUCUGUUCACCCUCCCAUCCCAGCUGAUCCCAGUCACUGCUUGCUGGGGCCAUGCCAUGGAAGCUUCCCAUCAGUCUCCCAGCUGAAUCCUCCCUGCUCUCUGAGCUGCUGCCUUUUGCCUCCUGCAACUCAACAUCCUCUUCACCCUGCCCUGCCUGCAGUUGAGGGGGCGAAGAAGAACCCUGUGUUCUCAGGAAGACUGCCUCCACCACCGCUACCCAGAGAACCUCUGCAUCUGGCAUUUCUGCUCUCUAUGCUUGAGACCGGGAGGUUUAGGCUCAGAUAAGUGAGCUCUGGGCCAUGAGAGGGUAGGUCCAGAAGGUGGGGGGAACUGUACAGAUCAGCAGAGCAGGACAGUUGGCAGCAGUGACCUCAGUAGGGAACAUGUCCGUCUACCCUCUCGCACUCAUGACACCUCCCCCUACCAGCCCUCCUCUUCCUCCUCCUCCUCCUCCUGUGGGAGGUGGUCAGUGGGACUUAGGGAUCUUUCACCUGCUGUGCCCAGUAGUUCUGAAGUCUGCUUGUGGAGCAGUGUUUUAUGUUUAUCCCUGUUUACUGAAGACCAAAUACUGGUUUGGAGACAACUUCCAUGUCUUGCUCUUCUACCUCCCUAGUUAGUGGAAAUUUGGAUAAGGGAACUGUAGGGCCCAGAUUCUGGAGGUUUUAUGUCAUUGGCCACAGAAUAACUGUCUCUAAGCUAUCCAUGGUCCAGUGGUCCCUGCCAAGUCUGUAGACUUCAGAGAGCACUUCUCUCUUAUGGGGUUCAUGGGAACAGGGGUGGGUGUGACUUGCUUGGUGGCCUCAUUCCAUGUGUGCCUGUGCCUGGGGCAUGGACUUUGUUAAGCAGAGUCAGCAGUGAGGUCCUCAUUCUCCAGCCAGCCUCUCUGCCCUGGAGAAUCAUGUGCUAUGUUCUAAGAAUUUGAGAACUAGAGUCCUCAUCCCCAGGCUUGAAGGCACAUGGCUUUCUCAUGUAGGGCUCUCUGUGGUAUUUGUUAUUAUUUUGCAACAAGACCAUUUUAGUAAAA
This 1528-nucleotide long non-coding RNA is filed under the name Homo sapiens (human). RNAcentral describes it as "HSALNT0005080". The record is from RNAcentral. Lineage: Eukaryota; Metazoa; Chordata; Mammalia; Primates; Hominidae.